Molecule: ribosomal RNA, 497 nt
Filed under: uncultured bacterium
Lineage: Bacteria
Description: partial 16S ribosomal RNA
Rfam family: Bacterial small subunit ribosomal RNA
Source: RNAcentral
GAUGAACGCUGGCGGCGUGCCUAAUACAUGCAAGUCGAGCGAACAGACGAGGAGCUUGCUCCUCUGACGUUAGCGGCGGACGGGUGAGUAACACGUGGAUAACCUACCUAUAAGACUGGGAUAACUUCGGGAAACCGGAGCUAAUACCGGAUAAUAUAUUGAACCGCAUGGUUCAAUAGUGAAAGACGGUUUUGCUGUCACUUAUAGAUGGAUCCGCGCCGCAUUAGCUAGUCGGUAAGGUAACGGCUUACCAAGGCACGGAUGCGUAGCCGACCGACGAGGGUGAUCGGCCACACUGGAACUGGGACGCGGUCCAGACUACUACGGGAGGCAGCAGUAGGGAAUCUUCCGCAAUGGGCGAAAGCCUGACGGAGCAACGCCGCGUGAGUGAUGAAGGUCUUCGGAUCGUAAAACUCUGUUAUUAGGGAAGAACAAAUGUGUAAGUAACUAUGCACGUCUUGACGGUACCUAAUCAGAAAGCCACGGCUAACUACGUG